CUGGAACGCGCUUCGGCGCACCCAGAAACCCUUUGUGAA
RNAcentral lists this ribosomal RNA (39 nucleotides) under Diaporthe sojae. Its description in RNAcentral is "partial 18S ribosomal RNA". Lineage: Eukaryota; Fungi; Ascomycota; Sordariomycetes; Diaporthales; Diaporthaceae. RNAcentral also lists the same sequence under 2 other names. The record is from RNAcentral.